UACGUAGGGUGCGAGCGUUGUCCGGAAUCAUUGGGCGUAAAGAGCGCGUAGGCGGUCCGGUAAGUCCGCUCUGAAAGUCCGGGGCUCAACCCCGGGAGGCGGGCGGAUACUGUCGGGCUAGAGUCCGGAAGAGGCGAGUGGAAUUCCUGGUGUAGCGAUGAAAUGCGCAGAUAUCAGGAGGAACACCAAUGGCGAAGGCAGCUCGCUGGGACGGUACUGACGCUGAGGCGCGAAAGCGUGGGGAGCAAACAGG
Molecule: ribosomal RNA, 253 nt
Filed under: uncultured bacterium
Lineage: Bacteria
Description: partial 16S ribosomal RNA
Rfam family: Bacterial small subunit ribosomal RNA
Source: RNAcentral